GAGAAUUCUCUCUUCCCCACACACACACACACACACACACACACACAUAUAUAUAUAUAUAUAUAUAUAUAUAUCAGUAGUGGAAGUAUAUAAACAUAUUGAGGAGUGUAAAGAUCAGCAUUAUACAGUUCCACUCAAUAUUGACACAGACAUUGAUUGAAGUAUAAUCAAAAGUGCUUACAGAAGACAGUUUACAUUAUUUCUGCAAAAUGCAGAAGGCAGAGACACAGGGAAACCAACCUCCCUUAGGAUACCCAUCUGAGAAUCCCCCCGCCAAAAGAAAGUUCUUCUCUGCUUCCAAGAAGAAAGGUGAUAGGGGCUUCAUCGAGGGAUGGUAAGCAUAUCUACUGAAUUGCAUAAUGAUUACAUUAAUACACUCACAUAUGCUAUAUAUUCUGCAUGGAAAACAUGAUAUAUAACGAUAAGUACUAUAAUCUAUAACUGUUUGACCAAGAAAUGAAUUAAUAUAUAUGCGCUAAAGUUUCCAUAAACACCAUAAACUGUUUACCAGAAUACUAGACUAUGACCUGGAGUUGGAUCAGAUCAGCAUAUUUUAUCAGAAAGCAUUUAAAUUUAUUCGAUUGAUAUCUUUUUUUUGUUGUUGAAAAUUCUUAUUUAUGAUGCAGCCUCUUCGCUCUGUGUUGCUGCUGGCUUUGUGAAGAAUGCUGCUGAACUAGAGUUCAGGAUACUAUAUUGGCAUAUUACUGCUUCUUUCCUUGUUUGAUAGUGUUUGAGUGUUAGUGGAUUUCAUC
Molecule: small RNA, 752 nt
Filed under: Vigna angularis var. angularis
Lineage: Eukaryota; Viridiplantae; Streptophyta; Magnoliopsida; Fabales; Fabaceae
Description: Non-protein coding transcript
Source: RNAcentral